AGAAGCUCCACCCCUCGGCAGCUCCAGUCAGGCCCCAUCUAGGCCCUUCCAGAAGCAACCCAGGAGCCCCGAGACCUGCAGAGGUGUGUGCACCCUGACCCCUGACGCAUAGCCCUGCACCUGCAGCCAGCUGGCCUCAGGCUGCAAACAUGGCGGGGACUUACUGUCUUAUCAUCCCCUGGACUCAAGAUGAGGGUGCUAGGACGCCCUCCCACACCACCCCAUCUUGCCCAGGGGCACACCUCAGGCCCUGAGGAAUCACCGAAUGAAAGGGGUUUUUACAAACAGGAAACUUAAGUGGAGUGCCAAUACACAACAUGGAUUGCACCAGGCUAGGUCUAAGAUAAAACAAGACUGUGGACAACUGGACAGAUAAGACCCACAUGACUCUGCACUGCCUGGGUCUCUUAUUGUGUGGAGGAAUGUCUUAGUCUGUGGCUCCUGUGGGUGUAGCUAAAGCACGAACCAGGAGUCUUCAUCCUUAGAAAGCAAUUAGACAGACACCUCAGAACCAAUCCCAUACUGCAGCCUUCCACAGAACCUUCUGAAACCUUCUGGAAUGUAACUCAUUACUGCCAGAGGGUCUUUGAUGAGAGUCUACUCUCCACCAUUUUUCUUCAAAGAGAAUACCCACAUAUUCUCUUUCCAUGGAAAGGCUUGGAAAUCUAGUGUAUAUUUUACACUAACAGCAUAUCUCAAUU
This 701-nucleotide long non-coding RNA is filed under the name Pongo abelii (Sumatran orangutan). RNAcentral describes it as "lincRNA". The record is from RNAcentral. Lineage: Eukaryota; Metazoa; Chordata; Mammalia; Primates; Hominidae.